This 1552-nucleotide long non-coding RNA is filed under the name Sipha flava (yellow sugarcane aphid). RNAcentral's name for it is "uncharacterized LOC112690004, transcript variant X1". Lineage: Eukaryota; Metazoa; Arthropoda; Insecta; Hemiptera; Aphididae. The record is from RNAcentral.
UCCUAUCGAGAUGAAUUUUGAAACAGUACAGCAUUAUUUUCGAAUCACUGCUCUUUGCGUACUAUUAGCAGACGCUUUUACUGCUACUCCAUGAAUCCACUGUGAAAAGUGGCAGUAGAAAAGUUUAGACCACUAAUGAUAGAUGGUACACUCCUACUAACCAGAUUUCUUUGUUAAAUAUGUCAAAUACAUUCGUUGCUUAUGGUUGCCAAAUUAUAUUUGUACCUGAUCAGUCCACACAUUUUUUUGAAAAUUUGGGAAGGUCCAAACACCCUGGACACCCCCCCCCCCCAGAUACGGCCCUGGAUAGAAGAUAAAACAAAAAAAAAUUCAAAUCAUCACAAUAUAGCAGAAUUUGCCGUGCUAAUUUUACCAUUAAUGACUACCAAAUCCAUUUCAAUGCUAGUAGACCACUUUGAAGAGUGAAUGCUAUUCCAUCCAUAUUUUUGCAUUUCCUUCAUAUUACCAAAUAAUUACAAAACCAAAAAAAAAAAAAACCCUGGCAUAAGAAUAAGUAGUGUUUUUAUUGAUGAUGCUCUUCCUGAAACUGAUAAUCUUACAUUUGAUAUCGAGUCACAGGCUACUAGAUGUCGGAGUAUAAACUAUAAAUUGCUACACAAAUGAAAUAGAGUUAAAUAUAUAUAUAUUACAGCAAAAGCUUAAAAUGAAAUAUAAGAAACUUUGUAAUUUAACGAUAUUUUGAAUAAUUUAUACGACCAAGGCUUAAUUGAAGUUGAAUCUGAAAGAUUGAUUGAAAAUAAUUUUAGUGAACAAUAUUAAGCGUACCACAUACAUAAUCUGGACAUAGCAAUUGGACUUCUUCUGUUGAUGCUAAAAAUGUAAAUGUUGAUGGAAUAAUUGAUUAGUCACUUAUUAUCUAAUUAAGGUCAAGAGAACAUAGGAUUUAAUUUAGCUAAUAAAUUGACAUCUACUCACAUAGACUGAAAGAAGAAUAUCAUGCAAGUGAAAAUAGCAGCUCAAACAUUAAGUUCAUCAACUGGUGAUGCAAUAGAGUUUCUUAGAUUAUUAAAUUAACCCACAUUUCGAAACAGUAAAUUUUUAUGAGUAAUUAAUUUAGAAUAAUUAAACUUGCAUUAACUUUUGGUUUUCUAAAAUUGAUUAAAAUAAAUAUUUACUAAAAAAAAAAAAAUGAUUAAUCAACAAUAAAUGUAAUACUACUUAAUUAAUUAAUCUAAAUUAUUAUUGUAAUAUUUUCUACUAUGGAAAUAAUAGCCUUAAGAUUGUAAUCACAUUUAUAUAUUGUAUACAGUAUGUUAAAAAAAAAAGAAACAAUUAUAAUCAAAAAUAGUUCGCGGACGUUUCAUCCCUCCCUAUUAUUAAGAUAGGACAUUUGGCUCCCAGGAAUUAUAUAGAUUUAUUUAUAAAUAGAGUACGGAUUUUGAAGGCAUUUGCCUUUUUUUUCUAUUGCUCUAAAACGAAGCUAUGUCAGCUACAAAUUCGAUUUAUACUGCUAUACUGCUAUGCACGACAUUUUAUUUUGCUUUUUUUUUGCUUUUUUUGCGUUUUUUUAAUAUUUAUGCUUUUUUGGGCA